UACGGAGGAUGCGAGCGUUAUCCGGAUUUAUUGGGUUUAAAGGGUGCGUAGGCGGACGCUUAAGUCAGCGGUAAAAUUGCGGGGCUCAACCUCGUCGAGCCGUUGAAACUGGGUGCCUUGAGUGGGCGAGAAGUACGCGGAAUGCGUGGUGUAGCGGUGAAAUACAUAGAUAUCACGCAGAACUCCGAUUGCGAAGGCAGCGUACCGGCGCCCAACUGACGCUGAAGCACGAAGGCGUGGGUAUCGAACAGG
This 252-nucleotide ribosomal RNA is filed under the name uncultured bacterium. Its description in RNAcentral is "partial 16S ribosomal RNA". It matches the Rfam family "Bacterial small subunit ribosomal RNA", at positions 524 to 776 of the family's 1533-position model. The record is from RNAcentral.